This 1300-nucleotide ribosomal RNA is filed under the name Triticum aestivum (bread wheat). Its description in RNAcentral is "partial small subunit ribosomal RNA". The record is from RNAcentral. Lineage: Eukaryota; Viridiplantae; Streptophyta; Magnoliopsida; Poales; Poaceae.
AGUCCCCCUCUUCCCUCGGCCGCCGCAGAGAGAGAACAGCACCGCAGCGGAGAGGGGAGAGAGAGACAGAGGGAACAUGGUGGCGCCGAACGUGAAGGCAGAGACGAUGAGGCUGAUGGACCGGCGGUCGGCGCUGGAGGCGGAGAUGGACGCCAUCAUCGCCGCCCUCUCCGCGCCGGGCGGGGCGGGCAUCACGGGCUCCCUCGUCGACGCCGAGGGUUUCCCCAGGGCGGACAUCGACAUCCCCGCCGUCCUCGCCCAGCGCCGCAAGCUCGGUGAGCUGAGGAAUGACCACAAGGAUGUUACAAGCAAAAUUGAGAAGAAUCUGGAAGUUUUACACUCUACAAAAUUAACAAGAAAUGAGCAAUCAAUCCCAAGAAGUUCUGGUAUAUCAGCUCCACUGCAUGGUGGAUUGUCUCAAAAUGAUCCUAUGGAAGAGGAUGUGGUAACCAGACUUCCUUUUGCCAUAAUUGAUGACAUUGCAGAUGGUUCUCCUGCUGCUUUGGAUGGCUUGCUGCUUGGGGAUGAGAUAGUGAAGUUUGGGAGUGUAGAGGCUGGUGGCAGACUGCAAGAAAGGCUUGUUUCUGAAGCCGUUUCCAAUGAGGAUAAUCAAGUAUCUCUACUCAUCAUUCGUCAGGGAUCACCAAUGAACUUGACAAUCACACCAAGAAAGUGGCAUGGAAGAGGACUUAUGGGGUGCCAUUUCCGAAUCUUAUGAAGGGCCGGUCUAUAUAUUCAACUGAAGAAUGGCGUGCUUUCACGUCUGCACUUGUGCUGACAGCUCUUGCCGCUCAACGUUUCAAUCGAGUCGAAGUAAACUGAUAACCUGAAUGCCUGUACUUACUUUACCUGUAGCUGCGCUUAAAGUACAAUGCCACUUGUGGAACCUGUAGUUGCCUUGGUUACAAGCUUUAUUUGGUACAAUUCCUAUAGCUGCGCUUAAAGAACUAUGCCCAUCACAUUUGGUAAUGACGAUGCAGAAAACCUGGAGUCAAAAUGGAGUUGGGUCGAUCGUGUGGACGCAGAGAAAAAUAGUGUCAAUUCUCGGUGCAAUUGUGGAAAGGUCCCAUCUGGUCUUUGGCGACUUGGUCUUACAUACACAACGCAGACUGCUCAACAAGAACAACAGCACGUCGGUCACUUGUAUACGCGUGGCGACUUAGUGAGAAUGCAUCGCUUCAGGAAUUGUUCGGCCUCGCAUGGGAGCAUUAAGCAUCCACCUAAUAAGCUUUAGCCCAACUUUAGACUAUCGGCUGUUGUUAAUUAGCCCUAAAUCGGCAGCCGGUUGCCAGAAACUGCG